Molecule: ribosomal RNA, 373 nt
Filed under: uncultured organism
Description: partial 16S ribosomal RNA
Rfam family: Bacterial small subunit ribosomal RNA
Source: RNAcentral
GUAGGUGGCAAGCGUUGUCCGGAAUUAUUGGGGCGUAAAGCGCGCGCAGGCGGUCCUUUAAGGUCUGAUGUGAAAGCCCACGGCUCAACCGUGGAGGGUCAUUGGAAACUGGGGGACUUGAGUGCAGAAGAGAAGAGUGGAAUUCCACGUGUAGCGGUGAAAUGCGUAGAGAUGUGGAGGAACACCAGUGGCGAAGGCGACUCUUUGGUCUGUAACUGACGCUGAGGCGCGAAAGCGUGGGGAGCAAACAGGAUUAGAUACCCUGGUAGUCCACGCCGUAAACGAUGAGUGCUAAGUGUUAGAGGGUUUCCGCCCUUUAGUGCUGCAGCAAACGCAUUAAGCACUCCGCCUGGGGAGUACGGCCGCAAGGCUA